Molecule: transfer RNA, 86 nt
Filed under: Caulerpa lentillifera
Lineage: Eukaryota; Viridiplantae; Chlorophyta; Ulvophyceae; Bryopsidales; Caulerpaceae
Description: tRNA-Leu
Rfam family: tRNA
About the family: Transfer RNA (tRNA) molecules are approximately 80 nucleotides in length. Their secondary structure includes four short double-helical elements and three loops (D, anti-codon, and T loops).
Source: RNAcentral
GCCUUGGUGGUGAAAUGGUAUACACAGUUGAUUCAAAAUUAAUAGCUUCUUUUAAAAGCGUGGAGGUUCGACUCCUCUUCAAGGCA